RNAcentral lists this ribosomal RNA (1495 nucleotides) under uncultured Gammaproteobacteria bacterium. Its description in RNAcentral is "bacterial SSU rRNA". It matches the Rfam family "Bacterial small subunit ribosomal RNA". The record is from RNAcentral. Lineage: Bacteria; Pseudomonadati; Pseudomonadota; Gammaproteobacteria.
AUUGAACGCUGGCGGUAUGCUUAACACAUGCAAGUCGAACGGAAACGAUACUAGCUUGCUAGUAGGCGUCGAGUGGCGGACGGGUGAGUAACGCGUAGGAAUCUGCCUGAUAGUGGGGGAUAGCCCGAAGAAAUUCGGAUUAAUACCGCAUAAUCUAUUCGUAGUAAAGUGGGGGACUUUCGAGCCUCACGCUAUCAGAUGAGCCUGCGUAAGAUUAGCUAGUUGGUAGGGUAAAAGCCUACCAAGGCAACGAUCUUUAGCUGGUCUGAGAGGAUGAUCAGCCACAUCGGGACUGAGACACGGCCCGAACUCCUACGGGAGGCAGCAGUGGGGAAUAUUGGACAAUGGGGGCAACCCUGAUCCAGCAAUACCGCGUGUGUGAAGAAGGCCUGAGGGUUGUAAAGCACUUUCAAUUGUGAAGAAAAGUUAACGGUUAAUAACCGUUAGCCUUGACGUUAACUUUAGAAGAAGCACCGGCUAACUCCGUGCCAGCAGCCGCGGUAAUACGGAGGGUGCAAGCGUUAAUCGGAAUUACUGGGCGUAAAGCGUGCGUAGGCGGUUUAUUAAGUCAGAUGUGAAAGCCCCGGGCUUAACCUGGGAACUGCAUUUGAAACUGGUCAACUAGAGUAUGGUAGAGGAAAGUGGAAUUUCUGGUGUAGCGGUGAAAUGCGUAGAUAUCAGAAGGAACAUCAAUAGCGAAGGCAGCUUUCUGGACCAAUACUGACGCUGAGGUACGAAAGCGUGGGUAGCAAACAGGAUUAGAUACCCUGGUAGUCCACGCCGUAAACGAUGAUAACUAGCCGUUGGGGGGAUUUACCCUUUAGUGGCGAAGCUAACGCGUUAAGUUAUCCGCCUGGGGAGUACGGCCGCAAGGUUAAAACUCAAAGGAAUUGACGGGGACCCGCACAAGCGGUGGAGCAUGUGGUUUAAUUCGAUGCAACGCGAAGAACCUUACCUGGUCUUGACAUCCUGCGAACUUUCUAGAAAUAGAUUGGUGCCUUCGGGAACGCAGUGACAGGUGCUGCAUGGCUGUCGUCAGCUCGUGUCGUGAGAUGUUGGGUUAAGUCCCGUAACGAGCGCAACCCCUAUCCUUAUUUGCCAGCACGUCAUGGUGGGAACUAUAAGGAGACUGCCGGUGAUAAACCGGAGGAAGGCGGGGACGACGUCAAGUCAUCAUGGCCCUUACGACCAGGGCUACACACGUGCUACAAUGGGAAGGACAAAGAGCCGCGAAGCCGCGAGGUGUAGCUAAUCUCAGAAACCUUUUCGUAGUCCGGAUUGGAGUCUGCAACUCGACUCCAUGAAGUCGGAAUCGCUAGUAAUCGUAGAUCAGAAUGCUACGGUGAAUACGUUCCCGGGUCUUGUACACACCGCCCGUCAUACCAUGGGAGUGGGUUGCACCAGAAGUGGCUAGUCUAACUUAGUGAGGACGGUCACCACGGUGUGAUUCAUGACUGGGGUAAAGUCGUAACAAGGUAGCCCUACCGGAAGGUGG